CAUCCAGCGAACUUGGCAGAGAUGCCUUGGUGCCUUCGGGAACGCUGAGACAGGUGCUGCAUGGCUGUCGUCAGCUCGUGUUGUGAAAUGUUGGGUUAAGUCCCGCAACGAGCGCAACCCUUAUCCUUUGUUGCCAGCGAUUCGGUCGGGAACUCAAAGGAGACUGCCGGUGAUAAACCGGAGGAAGGUGGGGAUGACGUCAAGUCAUCAUGGCCCUUACGAGUAGGGCUACACACGUGCUACAAUGGCGCAUACAAAGAGAAGCGACCUCGCGAGAGCAAGCGGACCUCAUAAAGUGCGUCGUAGUCCGGAUCGGAGUCUGCAACUCGACUCCGUGAAGUCGGAAUCGCUAGUAAUCGUGGAUCAGAAUGCCACGGUGAAUACGUUCCCGGGCCUUGUACACACCGCCCGUCACACCAUGGGAGUGGGUUGCAAAAGAAGUAGGUAGCUUAACCUCCGGGAGGGCGCUUACCACUUUGUGAUUCAUGACUGGGGUGAAGUCGUAACAAGGUAGGCGUAGCGAG
RNAcentral lists this ribosomal RNA (524 nucleotides) under uncultured bacterium. Its description in RNAcentral is "bacterial SSU rRNA". It matches the Rfam family "Bacterial small subunit ribosomal RNA", at positions 985 to 1509 of the family's 1533-position model. The record is from RNAcentral.